This 267-nucleotide small nuclear RNA is filed under the name Neotoma lepida (desert woodrat). RNAcentral's name for it is "7SK RNA". It matches the Rfam family "7SK RNA", at positions 1 to 274 of the family's 331-position model. From Rfam's summary of the family: 7SK was discovered as an abundant small nuclear RNA in the mid-70s but a possible function has only recently been suggested. Two independent studies have found that 7SK RNA binds the CDK9/cyclin T complex (known as elongation factor P-TEFb). P-TEFb activates transcription by phosphorylating the C-terminal domain of RNA polymerase II. The record is from Rfam by way of RNAcentral. Lineage: Eukaryota; Metazoa; Chordata; Mammalia; Rodentia; Cricetidae.
GUGAGGGCAAUCUGGCUGUGACAUCUCUUAACCCAUUGACCACCAGGGUUGAUUAGGCUUAUCUGACUGGCUAGGCGGGUGUCCCCCUUGGUCUAAAAGGAUGGCCUUCCCCAAUAGAGGAGGGCUGGUCUUCUGUCAAGGGUAUAUGAGUAGCUCUGCUCCCCUACUAGAACCUCCAAACAAACUCUCAACCACUCUUCUAUUAAACCAUACACCUGAAAUUUUUCUUUAAAAUAGUGGAGAUGCAGGAAGUUGGAUAUUGUUUCU